AUGCUGCAUUCUUGCUCCUUGGGAUUUGAAGAGAAAACGCCUGGUGUCAUACCUAGUGAAAAUAAUGGACUUUCAAGAGGUAGUCCAUCUAAGAAAAACAGACUUUCCUUAUAGUUUUUUCAGAAAAAGGAAACUAAGAGCCUUGGAUUUCACAGAUUCUCAAGAAAAUGAAGAAAAAGCUUCUGAAUAUAGAAGAUCUGAAAUUGAUCAAGUUGUUCCUGCAGCACAAUCCUCACUGUGAGAAGAGAGAAAACUUAUUACGAUUUGUGGGACUGAAUAAUCUUGGCAAUACUUGGUAUCUUAAUAGCAUACUUCAAGUACUACAUUUUUGUCCCGGUUUUAAGUCUGGAGUGAAGCACUUAUUUAAUAUUAUUUUAAGGAGGAAAGAAGCUUUAAAAGAUGAAGCCAAUCAAAAAGAUAAGGGAACUCAACCUUAUGUAUGAAGGAUAUCUAGAGCAUGAUGCACAGGAAGUACUACAGUGUAUUUUGGGAAACAUUCAAGAAACAUUCCAGCUCCUAAAAAAAGAAGAAGUAAAAAAUGUGGCAGAAUUAUCUACUAAGGUGGAAGAAAAACCUAAUCAGAAAGAGGAAAUGAGUGGUUUUAGUGGCAUGGAGAUUGACGAUGUUAGGCAUUUUGAAGAGUGUAAAGAAAAACUCCCCAAAGGAAACGGGAAACGAAAAAGUGACAUUGAAUUUGGUAACAUGAAGAAAAAAGUUAAAGUAUCCAAGGAACAACAGUCAUUGGAAGAGAACCACAGACAAACCAGAUCAAAAAAAGCUACAGAUGAUACAUUAGGUUCCUCCUAAAAUAAUCCCCAAGUACAUAUCUGAAAACGAGAGUGCAAGACCCUCACAAAAGAAAUCAGGAGUUAAGAUAAAUUGGUUAAACUCAGCAACCCAGCAUUCUUUCUAAAUUCUGUAGCCUGGGAAAAAUAACAACAAACCAAGGAUCGAAAGGACAAUCUAAAGAAAAUGAGUAUGAUCUUGAAGAGAACUCGGGGAAGUAUGAGACUAAUAACACAGUUAAUGGUUGUGGACUUGAAUCUACAGGAAAUAAUGUUAAACCUGUAAAUGUUAAUGAAGCUAAGCCCAUUAACAAAGGUACAGAGCAAAUUGGUUUUGAGCUAGGGGAGAAAUUAUUUCAAGGUCAGCUGGUGUUAAGAACUCGUUGCUUGGAAUGUGAAAGUUUAACCGAAAGAAGAGAUUUUCAAGACAUCAGUGUGCCAGUGCAAGAAGAUGAGCUUUCCAAAGUAGAGGAGAGUUCUGAAAUUUCUCCAGAGUCUAAAACAGAAAUAAAGACCCUGAGAUGGGCAAUUUCACAAUUUGCUUCAGUAGAAAGGAUUGUAGGAGAAGAUAAAUAUUUCCAUGAAAAUUGCCAUCAUUACACUGAAGCUGACUGAAGUCUUUUGUUUGACAAAAUGCCUGAAGUUAUAACUAUUCAUUUGAAGUGCUUUGCUGCUAGUGGCUUAGAGUUUGAUUGUUACGGUGGUGGACUUUCCAAGAUCAAUACUCCUUUGUUGACACCUCUUAAAUCGUCACUGGAAGAAUGGAGCACCAAGCCCACCAACCACAGCUACGGGUUAUUUGCGGUCGUGAUGCAUAGUGGCAUUACGAUCAGUAGUGGGCAUUACACUGCUUCUGUGAAAGUUACUGACCUGAAGAGUUUAGAGCUAGAUAAAGGAAACUUUGUGGUUGACCAAAUGUGUGAAAUAGGUAAGCCAGAACCAUUGAGUGAGGAGGGAGCAAAGGGGUGUGGUUGACAAUUAUGAUGAUGAAAAAGUGUCCAUUAGAGUUGGUGGAAGUACACCAUCAAGUAAAGCUUUGAACAAAAAAAAGUAGAAGGUAUUGGACUUCUUGGAGGACAAAAGAGCAAAGCAGAUUAUGAACUAUACAACAAAGCAUCUAAUCCUGAUAAGGCUGCCAGCGCAGCGUUGGCUGAAAGUAGAAACUCUGAGACUAACAGUACUAAUGGGACCCAUGAAUCUGAUAGCAAUAAGCAGUCCAGUGACCAAACAGGCAUUAAUAUGAAUGGAUUUGAGAACAAUUUCCUAUACAGUGCAAAGCUGAAAGGAAUAUGAAGGGAAGUGGUUGCUUUUUGAUGAUUCUGAAGUGAAAGUUACAGAAGAGGAGGACUUUCUGAAUUCUCUUUCCCCUUCUACGUCUCCUAUAUCUACUCCUUACUUGCUAUUUUAUAAGAAAUUACAGAGUUGAGUGUAUUUUCUUUGUGUAUAUAUUAAACAGACCUGCACAAACAUUGCUAAAGUUGAUUACAUCAAAGUUUUUAGCUUAUCUUUUGAAGCUACUGGGUAUACUAUUGGUCUCGCUAGGUUUUUAUAUAAAUAGUGAAAUUUGAAUUACUGAAAACCAUGUUAAUUUUUAGAAUUCCUUAGUAGAGACUAGUGAUGCGUUAGCUUCUGGGAACAAACUUGUAUAGGUUCUUAAUUGAAUCAUCCAAAAUGGAAUUCACACCAGUCUUUUGUGUUUGCUUUUUAAAAUAAAGUGCUUGUAUUUGUAUUCUCCAUAUUAUGGAGUAAUUAUUUACAUGAUGUUUAUAGGUCCUGUGGUUUUUCACCCACAAAGCAGAAUCUCAUUCAGUACAUUUAAUUUUAUAAGAGUCGGGAAGCCAAAUCUUGGAUGGGCUGUGUCAAGCACAAAGUCUGGAAUGUGUGUAUUCACAAUGGUGUACGUUUUGUGCCUUGAGUCACUUUGAAAAGUGUCGCAGAACACUAGGACAGUCCUCAUCUAUCUUCACAAGAAUUUUAUAUGUAUUUAUGAAGAUGAUUCUGUGUUCCAGUAGAUCUCUUUGGGCAUGGACUAAUUUGUAUCUCUUCAUACUUGAUAUUCUGCAUGAUCUGUAUAUAGUGCCUCAGGCUUAGAGGUGUGACUUUAAACUUUAACUUUUUUUAAAAAACCAAGAGGUCAAUAAAAUUUAAACUGCUU
RNA transcript from Nycticebus coucang (slow loris), 2940 nucleotides. It is a transcript of the gene named ubiquitin carboxyl-terminal hydrolase 1-like, with no coding region annotated. The record is from RefSeq and is a predicted model, not a curated record. Lineage: Eukaryota; Metazoa; Chordata; Mammalia; Primates; Lorisidae. The transcript has a single exon.